Molecule: transfer RNA, 78 nt
Filed under: Candidatus Magnetoglobus multicellularis str. Araruama
Lineage: Bacteria; Pseudomonadati; Thermodesulfobacteriota; Desulfobacteria; Desulfobacterales; Desulfobacteraceae
Description: tRNA-Asp
Rfam family: tRNA
About the family: Transfer RNA (tRNA) molecules are approximately 80 nucleotides in length. Their secondary structure includes four short double-helical elements and three loops (D, anti-codon, and T loops). Further hydrogen bonds mediate the characteristic L-shaped molecular structure. tRNAs have two regions of fundamental functional importance: the anti-codon, which is responsible for specific mRNA codon recognition, and the 3' end, to which the tRNAs corresponding amino acid is attached (by aminoacyl-tRNA synthetases). tRNAs cope with the degeneracy of the genetic code in two manners: having more than one tRNA (with a specific anti-codon) for a particular amino acid; and 'wobble' base-pairing, i.e. permitting non-standard base-pairing at the 3rd anti-codon position.
Source: RNAcentral
GGGGGCGUAGCUCAGUUUGGUUAGAGCGCCGGCCUGUCACGCCGGAGGUCGCGAGUUCGAGUCUCGUCGUCCCCGCCU